Molecule: small nuclear RNA, 164 nt
Filed under: Castor canadensis (American beaver)
Lineage: Eukaryota; Metazoa; Chordata; Mammalia; Rodentia; Castoridae
Description: U1 spliceosomal RNA (ENSCCNG00000009984.1)
Rfam family: U1 spliceosomal RNA
About the family: U1 is a small nuclear RNA (snRNA) component of the spliceosome (involved in pre-mRNA splicing). Its 5' end forms complementary base pairs with the 5' splice junction, thus defining the 5' donor site of an intron. There are significant differences in sequence and secondary structure between metazoan and yeast U1 snRNAs, the latter being much longer (568 nucleotides as compared to 164 nucleotides in human).
Source: Rfam by way of RNAcentral
AUACUUACCCGGCAGUGGAGAUACCAUGAUCACGAAGGUGAUUUUCCCAGGGCAAGACUUAUCCAUUGCACUUUGGAUGUGCUGUCCCUUGCAACUUCCUGAAAUGUGGGAAACUUGACUACAUAAUUUGUGGUAGUGGGGGACUGUGUUUGUGCUCUCCCCUG